GAUUGCAUCGCGUGACGGUUCAUGUACA
Molecule: small RNA, 28 nt
Filed under: Sinorhizobium meliloti 2011
Lineage: Bacteria; Pseudomonadati; Pseudomonadota; Alphaproteobacteria; Hyphomicrobiales; Rhizobiaceae
Description: putative ncRNA
Source: RNAcentral